RNA transcript from Mastomys coucha (southern multimammate mouse), 1202 nucleotides. It is a transcript of the gene named glyceraldehyde-3-phosphate dehydrogenase pseudogene, with no coding region annotated. Lineage: Eukaryota; Metazoa; Chordata; Mammalia; Rodentia; Muridae. The record is from RefSeq and is a predicted model, not a curated record. The transcript has a single exon.
GACAAAAUGGUAGAAGUUAGUUUGAACAGAUUUGGCCGCAUUAGGCAUCUGGUUACCAGGGCUGCCAUUGCCCUCCAUCCACUUGGCAAAGUGGAGAUUGUUGCCAUCAACAACCCCUUCAUUGACCUCAACUACAUUGUCUACAUGUUCCAGUAUGACUCCACCCAUGGCAAAUUCAACGGCACAGUCAAGGCUGAGAAUGGGAAGCUUGUCAUCAACCGGAAGCCCAUCAUCAUCUUCCAGGAGUGAGAUCCUACUAACAUCAAAUGGGGUGAUGCUGGUGUUGAGUAUGUUGUAGAGUCUACUGGCAUCUUCACCACCAUGGAUAAGGCUGGGGACCACUUUAAGGGUGGGGCCAAAAGGGUCAUCUUCUCUGCCCCUUCUGCCAAUGCUCCCAUGUUUGUGAUGAGUGUGAACCACAAGAAAUAUGAUAACUCACUCAAGAUUGUCAUCAAUGCAUCCUGCACCACCAACUGCUUAGCCCACCCCCACCCCCGGCCAAGGUCCUCCAUGACAACUUUGGCAUCAUGGAAGGGCUCAUGACCGCUGUCCAUGCCAUCACUGCCACUCAGAAGACUGUGGAUGGCCCCUCUGGAAAGCUGUGGUGUGAUGGCCAUGGAGCUGCCCAGAACAUCAUCCCUGCAUCCACUGGUACAGUGAAGGCUGUGGAUAAGGUCAUCCCAGAGCUGAACGGGAAGCUCACUGGCAUGGCCUUCCAUGUUCCUACCUACAAUGUAUCUGUUGUGGAUCUGACAUGUUGCCUGGAGAAACCUGUUAAGUAUGAUGACAUCAAGAAGGUGGUGAAGCAGGCAUCCGAGGGCCCACUGAAGGGCAUCCUGUAGGACCAGAUUGUCUCCUGCAAGUUCAACAGCAACUCCCAUUCUUCCACCGUUGAUGCUGGGGCUGGCAUUGCUCUCAAUGACAACUUUGUAAAGCUCAUUUCCUGGUAUGAUGAUGAAUAUGGCUACCGCAACAGGGUGGUGGACCUCAUGGCCUACAUGGACUCCAAGGAGUAAGAAACCCUGGGCCACCCACAAGUAAGGACACUGAGAGCAAGAGAGAGGCCCUUGGUUCCUGAGGAGUCCCUAUCCCAAUACUGAGCAUCUCCCUCAAAAUUUCCAUCCCAGACUCCCAUAAUAACAGGAAGAGCCUAGGGAGCCCUCCCUACUCUCUUGAAUACCAUCAAUAAAGUUCUCUGCACC